RNAcentral lists this ribosomal RNA (447 nucleotides) under uncultured bacterium. Its description in RNAcentral is "partial 16S ribosomal RNA". It matches the Rfam family "Bacterial small subunit ribosomal RNA", at positions 63 to 523 of the family's 1533-position model. The record is from RNAcentral.
UGAGCGGGACGGAAAGAGGAUCGAGAAAGCCUUGAGCUUUCUUGAUGGAGGGGAGUGGCAGACGGGUGAGUAACGCGUGGGAACGUACUCUGAACUGCGGAAUAGCUCCGGGAAACUGGAAUUAAUACCGCAUGUGCCCUGAGGGGCAAAGGUUUACCGGUUUGGGAUCGGCCCGCGUUGGAUUAGCUAGUUGGUGGGGUAAUGGCCUACCAAGGCGACGAUCCAUAGCUGGUCUGAGAGGAUGAUCAGCCACAUUGGGACUGAGACACGGCCCAAACUCCUACGGGAGGCAGCAGUGGGGAAUAUUGGACAAUGGGCGCAAGCCUGAUCCAGCCAUGCCACGUGAGUGAUGAAGGUCUUAGGAUUGUAAAGCUCUUUCGCACGCGACGAUAAUGACGGUAGCGUGAGAAGAAGCCCCGGCUAACUUCGUGCCAGCAGCCGCCGUAA